GUACAUCCAAUAAAAUAUGAAUCCUAAUAGUCUAUUACUUUAUGAUGAUCAAACCGACUAUAUGUGAGCAUAUAAAUUUUUAUAUCCUACAUAUAAUACAUAACUUUCUUUGUAACUUUUUUACAUUCCAUUCUUAGAUCUUGUGGAUAAUGUCCAAGCAUCGAUGUAGCAUAAGGAAUAUCUUAACCCAUAUAAAUAUACACAUAGACUCCUAGCAUCAGAUGCAUAGGUUAUAAACCUUAUUUUCUCUCUCUUUAUCUUGAUUCUUAGAUAUUGAGCUUUAUUAAAUUUAUCACCCUUU
RNAcentral lists this long non-coding RNA (301 nucleotides) under Elaeis guineensis (African oil palm). Its description in RNAcentral is "long non-coding RNA (EGUI_LNC082267)". The record is from RNAcentral. Lineage: Eukaryota; Viridiplantae; Streptophyta; Magnoliopsida; Arecales; Arecaceae.